CCUUCGGGAGCUGACGAGCGGCGGACGGGUGAGUAACGCGUGGGAAUCUACCCAGUAGCGGGGGACAACUCGGGGAAACUCGAGCUAAUACCGCAUACGACCUACGGGUGAAAGCAGGGGAUCUUCGGACCUUGCGUUAUUAGAGCGGCCGAUAUCUGAUUAGGUAGUUGGUGGGGUAAAGGCCUACCAAGCCGACGAUCAGUAGCUGGUCUGAGAGGACGAUCAGCCACACUGGAACUGAGACACGGUCCAGACUCC
Molecule: ribosomal RNA, 258 nt
Filed under: uncultured bacterium
Lineage: Bacteria
Description: partial 16S ribosomal RNA
Rfam family: Bacterial small subunit ribosomal RNA
Source: RNAcentral